AUUGAACGCUGGCGGCAGGCCUAACACAUGCAAGUCGAACGAGUGGCGGACGGGUGAGUAAUGUCUGGGAAACUGCCUGAUGGAGGGGGAUAACUACUGGAACCGGUAGCUAAUCCCGCAUACCAUCAGAUGUGCCCAGAUGGGAUUAGCUUGUUGGUGGGGUAACGGCUCACCAAGGCGACGAUCCCUAGCUGGUCUGAGAGGAUGACCAGCCACACUGGAACUGAGACACGGCCCAGACUCCUACGGGAGGCAGCAGUGGGGAAUAUUGCACAAUGGACGAAAGCCGGAUGCAGCCAUGCCGCGUGUAUGAAGAAGGUCUUCGGGUUGUAAAGUACUUUCAGCGGGGAGGCGGUACCCGCAGAGGAAGCACCGGCUAACUCCGUGCCAGCAGCCGCGGUAAUAC
RNAcentral lists this ribosomal RNA (406 nucleotides) under uncultured bacterium. RNAcentral describes it as "partial 16S ribosomal RNA". It matches the Rfam family "Bacterial small subunit ribosomal RNA", at positions 30 to 526 of the family's 1533-position model. The record is from RNAcentral.